RNAcentral lists this long non-coding RNA (2617 nucleotides) under Triticum aestivum (bread wheat). RNAcentral describes it as "long non-coding RNA (TAES_LNC002573)". Lineage: Eukaryota; Viridiplantae; Streptophyta; Magnoliopsida; Poales; Poaceae. The record is from RNAcentral.
CUGUGCACGGGUAAUAGCACCAUCCCAAUCAUUGUCCACGUGCGCGCUGCUGGUCACCACCUUCCACCUGAGAACUGGCAGGUCCAGCAGACGUCGACUGUCGUUGAGGUGCAAGCAUGUAAUUAUAUAAUCAUGCAUGUUCAUGGUUGAACGAACUCUUCUUUCAACAAAAAAUUAAAUAGUAAAGUGAAAUGAAAUGCGAAAAGACUAAUAUGUACAACAAUUUCAAAGCCUCCGUGACAAAGAAGAAACAUCACAGUAAAAGUAUCCAUAAUACACACAUGUACCUGUCAAGAUAAAAGAAGCAACACCUUUCAAUAGAAAAAUAGGCAAUAAUAAUCGACUGCGUCUUCAGAAGCUAGCUUUUCAUUCACACCGACCUACAACCAAGAAAAUGAGAAAUUUGAUAAUUUCAUCAAGUUAAUGGUGUGCACAAAUGAAGCUGAAAUUAUAUAUAUGCCAUAAGGUGAUGAAACCUACCUCUGCACCAAUCCAAAUCAUGUCAGGCCGAUGAACAAAAAUGGCAUGCAACAUCACCUAACACACAUCUGAGUUGAAAAGCAAUAUUUCUUUGGUUCUAAAAAAGUGACGAUACCAGCAACAAUGGUUGACGAUGGCUGCAAGCAAAGUAGUAUGCAUCAGCUGGGAGCAAAAACCAACGAGUUGCUACCUUGAUGCUUUAUAUUCUUCUAUGUGUCUUGUUAUCCCCGUCAAGUCACUGAUGCACCCGGUCGAUACAAAAGUUUGCUAUUUUCUUGUGGAGCUUAUAAUUGACAUAGAUCUGAACAAAAAUGGAGGGACCAAAUAAAUUGCAGAGUUGGGAGUUUAGGAACUAACAGUUGUAAAUCCACACCAAUGAACACAAAUACAACCUGAUUCUGUGGCAGACCUUUAACAGGAAAGGUAAAAUUUGUAGCAUAGUUAGGAACUUAAAAUUAUAGGUCACUAAAGUGCAUGCCACUGCAUCAAGAAAAUUCAUCUAACAGACAUCGAGCUUGUGUAGGACUGUCUUAUUAAGCACAUCAUGCUAACAUGCAAACUCGUGAUUGGAAAAAAGAAGUUACUCUAGCGAAAACUGGUGCUAAGCAGUGAAGAGGGCUAAAGGGAGCACCGCUUCUGAACAUUCUAAGAACAAUGAAGAGGCGUGCUCACAUCUAUGAAGCUAAAAAUAGUACACCAAACCGUAUUGAUUGAAUACGGCUAACAACGGAAAAACAAUUAGUAGUGAAGAAUCUGCAUAGAAUAGUACCGGAACGCAUCAAUCUAGGCAUGUAGCUAGCUUCUGCCAUCAGGGUUGCUUGCUAAUUGCAACGAUAUUCAUACCUGAAGAUUCAAUGAGCACUACUAAGCGAUAAAAAAAGAAAACUGAAUCUGUUCACUCGAUGUGUGCAUGGCCUACAAUGUUCUCACAUAUGAGUAAUUCAUCAAAGAAGCCCUCAAAAAAAUCAUCAAACAAAACCGCACAUGAAAGACAGGCUUACCUAAAUGGGGAUGGCCCGUGACCUGGAUCUCCUCGUCCGCGCUUUGCUGGUCUGCUACUACUUGAACAGAAACUCUGCCUGUUGUGCUGACGCUGCCCAAACUGUGCAAGUCUCAUAGUUCCCUGCAAUUGUUAAGAUCAAAAUCAGCAUCUUUUGCAACUAAUGCAGAGUGUGAAUUUCUCUGAAGAUAAAAAAGGCUUUGCAGAUUCAGUAUAGUUGACACAAACAAAAUGCAUUACCUGCUUUCCUCAAGAACCAGUGACUGAAAGUUGUGGAGAGCAAAUUGCAAAAAUAUGAGCAUUAAUACUUCUUAGGUAUCACAGAAAUUCAACGGAACUUUAACAAGACCAUGGCUUGCUUUUCACACUAUGGAACGUUCACGUAUUUCAUAUUUGAUCCACCUUUCAGCUGGGCAAAACAACAAACAGGUGGGGCACAAUAUCUAUUUAUGCUCAGAAAAGAAAUUACCAAAUAUCCGGCCACGAGGACGUGCGUGAGAGGACGGAAGAGACAGUGUGUGUGACAGCGAGAGAGGAUGUACGCGAGGACGCGGGGACUGGUGUCUCGGGUGGAUGGACGGCAGCGCGAAAGCCGGACUGAGCCGGCCAUCUCUGCGACCCACGCUCCUCCUGCCGACGACGGCGACGUGGACCACGGAUGUGGCUCGAGCUCCUCCGGGGUCGCCGCUGCACGCGUAGAGAUGGAGGCGGGGUGGAGCCUCCCGUGCAUCGCGCCCCAGCCCCGGCCUCCUCGCAGCUCCUGAUUUAGGAACGGGUCGAGCCGCCGCCAACCGCCAGGUCGUGCCCGACCUCGCCAGCGCAGGCCGACGCUGGCCAGUGACCCUCUCCUGUCAGCUGCCACACCUCCCUCUCCUCUUUCCUCUCUCUUUCUCCCGCCUCUCCUCUCCUUCCUUCUCUCUCCCUCUCAUCUUCUCUCUCUCUGAUAGGGUUCGUGCGGGAGCAAGGGGUUGGGGAGGUGGGGGCUGGGGAUGACGAGACGCCGCCGCGCACGAAGAGGAGAGGAGGCGGCGCGGAGGGAGAGAGGAAGGAGAGGAGCCAGCCCGGAUAUUUUCUAGGGCUCGGCUCGGUCCACCCACGAUGGAUGCCCUGGCAACCCACGAUCGAUCGCUCCUGCUU